This 206-nucleotide unclassified non-coding RNA is filed under the name Hevea brasiliensis (rubber tree). The record is from RNAcentral. Lineage: Eukaryota; Viridiplantae; Streptophyta; Magnoliopsida; Malpighiales; Euphorbiaceae.
AAAUUAUAAUAAAAUAUUUAUAAAUUUAACUAAAUUAUACAAUAUUAUUUAGUGCAUUCAAAUAUGAGAUACACAGAAAUUAAUUAUUUAUAGGUGCCAAUGGCAUCAUCAUUCACAUCUAUUGGAACUUAACGGCUGGCUACUCCAAAUUCUCUCCCAUCUCCCUCUCUCUCAUUCUUCCUUUUGUGAGCUCUUUGAAUUGGCAU